RNAcentral lists this ribosomal RNA (497 nucleotides) under uncultured bacterium. RNAcentral's name for it is "partial 16S ribosomal RNA". It matches the Rfam family "Bacterial small subunit ribosomal RNA", at positions 28 to 507 of the family's 1533-position model. The record is from RNAcentral.
GAUGAACGCUGGCGGCGUGCCUAAUACAUGCAAGUCGAGCGAACAGACGAGGAGCUUGCUCCUCUGACGUUAGCGGCGGACGGGUGAGUAACACGUGGAUAACCUAUCUAUAAGACUGGGAUAACUUCGGGAAACCGGAGCUAAUACCGGAUAAUAUAUUGAACCGCAUGGUUCAAUAGUGAAAGACGGUUUUGCUGUCACUUAUAGAUGGAUCCGCGCCGCAUUAGCUAGUUGGUAAGGUAACGGCUUACCAAGGCAACGAUGCGUAGCCGACCUGAGAGGGUGAUCGGCCACACUGGAACUGAGACACGGUCCAGACUACUACGGGAGGCAGCAGUAGGGAAUCUUCCGCAAUGGGCGAAAGCUUGACGGAGCAACGCCGCGUGAGUGAUGAAGGUCUUCGGAUCGUAAAACUCUGUUAUUAGGGAAGAACAAAUGUGUAAGUAACUAUGCACGUCUUGACGGUACCUAAUCAGAAAGCCACGGCUAACUACGUG